UUUCCUCCAUGGAGCUGAACUCGACGCCCAAUUCGAUCAGCUUCUUCGCAGCCUUCGGGGCUCUUCGUAACCCCGGUUGUGUAUCCUUCGGAAAACUACAUAAGUAAACAUCAGAAAAAUCCAUAUCAGAAGGCGACAUACCACAAGUAUGCUACAUUCCCCAGGUUUUUAGCGAGUUCUAAGUAGAUUCAAUUGCAUGUUGUUAAUAUCAUACAGGGUCAAUUAAUCAUCUAGUCCUUAAAGUUUGACUCAUGGCGAUUUCGUCCUCAUGACGUCGAUUUCGACAAUUUAGUCCUCGAUAUAUGCUCCACAUAACGAUUAAGUUCUGCUGAAAAGACGCCAUGUAGGAUUCAAACUUCAGGGACUAAUAUUGUCAAAAACUCAAAACUCUCCGAGAGAUUCUAACCAAGGCCACAUUUUUGGAAAGCAAAAUUGUAACUAGCCCAGUAUCUACUAUUAGCCUACUGGUGCUUGCAAUUUCCGAGAGCACCAGCUUUAUUCAUACCUGGGCACUUUGUAUUCAGGGUAAAGCUCUGCAACUUUGGAUGCAAAAUCGCUCCAAUGAGAAAUGGAUUCCACACAUAAGUGCCUUCCAGAUGCUGCCGGGUUUUCGAAUAGCAUGAUAUGGGAGAGUGCGACAUCUUUGACGUGGACUGGUCCCAUGUAAAAAUCUGGAUACUCUUCAGUGCAGCCUGCAACCAUGUCAGCUUCUAGUGUAAGAUCAAUUAUUUUCUAAAUUUUUUUUGGUUGCUAUUUUUUUUUUUUAGUAUAAAAGUGUUUUGCGAGCCCAUCACAGUAGUACAUUACCCAUCAAAGUAAUACAAAUGUACUACUUGGGUUAACAGUAAUAGCUUUUAGCACGUCAAAAGCAAUAGCUUCAGCAUAGCAUCAUUCUUACAAUGAAGGAUCUUGUAUAUCCAUGGUCUGCAGACAAUACAGCAGCAUCUUGGUUUCAAACACAAAGGCCCGGUACUUGUUCUGCCCACUUCUAGAAGGUCAACAUUCCCCUAUGAACGAAAUCCUUAUGUCCAUGUGUUGAUCUAUGGGCAAUAUUGGUCAAUCUUAAAAGUAUCCAUAAGGCAGUCGGUCAAAGCACGGCGAACAUCAUAGCCCCUUUUGCCAAAAAGUGUUAUUGGAGCGCCGUAAAUGUGUCAAGGCUACUUUCAGAAAUUACAUAUAGAUAUCUUUAUACUGAGGCCAACUAGCAUCAAUAUCCAACAUGCAUAAGAUGCGGACAGGAUGUAGAUUAAAGUUUCUAUGCUUCAGAUGAAGAUUUCAGAAAAACAAAUGGCAAAAGUGCAGGCAAAUCUAUUGUCUAAAUAGCAUUAGAUCUAUUCCUGGUAUACCACUGGGAUACUUUCGGCUACUACCGUCUUAACCCAUCUGGUAGAAAUUUGCCACCUUGUCAGUUCCUUGAAGAUUUCCCUAGUGGAUUCUCAUCCGAACUAGAAUUUUGAUAGUUAUAAAGUAAAUGCCUUCACCUAUAAGCUGCAAAGCUUUUAUGUAGACUAAGCAGUUUUUGCAAAGCUCCACAAACAAUGUCUAGAAGAAUGAUAAGGGUUCUCCGCCUCAUAGAAAACUAGACAAGAAAGCAACAAUAAAAAUGAGGGGUCUAUACAAUUAGUAAGCAACAGCACAGGAUUACAAGCAUCUCGUCUAACCUAAGGUGAGGGCACCUGAUGAACAAAUGGGAGCGAGCUGCCAUAACAGCAUAUACUUUUUCUAACAAUAAAAAUUAGACCACACUAACUAUAAACAGCUCACUUUUUAUCCAUGUGUCAGGAGCACAAUUUACUUCUCGUUGGGCCUUCCAUUCUUAGCGUGUUCAAUCUAAACGCCAACAAGCUUAUGAGACAUUUCGACAUUCUUUUGAGUGCCUUUGGGUGGCCUUGUGAUGUCCCAACAACCUUUCAGAAGCUAAAAUGAGAACAUAUAUAGACAAUAAAUACAAGAAAAUUAGCAGUAGAAAUUCAGUAGAUUAUACAAAACACACCUUCAAGCAGACGGACAAUCAUCGCCAUACUAGCAUUGAUUUUAGGGGGAAUUAUCGGACCCAGGACCGUGCCCGGAUUGAUCACAACCACAUCCAAUCCAUUCUCCUUGGCGAACUCCCAUGCUGCUUUCUCUGCCAAUGUCUUGGAAGCUGGAUACCAAAGCUAACAAAACACAUGACCAAACCGUUCAGAUAAUUUCCCUACCUUCAAAUAACAAGAGAAAAUGGAGCUUCCUGAUGUACCUCAUUCUUCUUGCAGUACUCGACGUCGGUCCAACAGCUCUCAUCUUUCACCACGUCGGCCGGCCAAUCAUGGCUGGGCACG
Molecule: long non-coding RNA, 2318 nt
Filed under: Ananas comosus (pineapple)
Lineage: Eukaryota; Viridiplantae; Streptophyta; Magnoliopsida; Poales; Bromeliaceae
Description: long non-coding RNA (ACOM_LNC020515)
Source: RNAcentral